ACGCUAGCUACAGGCUUAACACAUGCAAGUCGAGGGGAAACGACAUCGAAAGCUUGCUUUUGAUGGGCGUCGACCGGCGCACGGGUGAGUAACGCGUAUCCAACCUGCCCACCACUUGGGGAUAACCUUGCGAAAGUAAGACUAAUACCCAAUGACGUCUCUAGAAGACAUCUGAAAGAGAUUAAAGAUUUAUCGGUGAUGGAUGGGGAUGCGUCUGAUUAGCUUGUUGGCGGGGUAACGGCCCACCAAGGCGACGAUCAGUAGGGGUUCUGAGAGGAAGGCCCCCCACAUUGGAACUGAGACACGGUCCAAACUCCUACGGGAGGCAGCAGUGAGGAAUAUUGGUCAAUGGACGAGAGUCUGAACCAGCCAAGUAGCGUGCAGGAUGACGGCCCUAUGGGUUGUAAACUGCUUUUAUAAGGGAAUAAAGUGAGUCUCGUGAGACUUUUUGCAUGUACCUUAUGAAUAAGGACCGGCUAAUUCCGUGCCAGCAGCCGCGGUAAUACGGAAGGUCCGGGCGUUAUCCGGAUUUAUUGGGUUUAAAGGGAGCGUAGGCCGGAGAUUAAGCGUGUUGUGAAAUGUAGACGCUCAACGUCUGCACUGCAGCGCGAACUGGUUUCCUUGAGUACGCACAAAGUGGGCGGAAUUCGUGGUGUAGCGGUGAAAUGCUUAGAUAUCACGAAGAACUCCGAUUGCGAAGGCAGCUCACUGGAGCGCAACUGACGCUGAAGCUCGAAAGUGCGGGUAUCGAACAGGAUUAGAUACCCUGGUAGUCCGCACGGUAAACGAUGGAUGCCCGCUGUUGGUCUGAAUAGGUCAGCGGCCAAGCGAAAGCAUUAAGCAUCCCACCUGGGGAGUACGCCGGCAACGGUGAAAC
RNAcentral lists this ribosomal RNA (877 nucleotides) under uncultured bacterium. Its description in RNAcentral is "bacterial SSU rRNA". It matches the Rfam family "Bacterial small subunit ribosomal RNA", at positions 33 to 900 of the family's 1533-position model. The record is from RNAcentral.